AUUCCAGCUCCAAUAGCGUAUAUUUAAGUUGUUGCAGUUAAAAAGCUCGUAGUUGGAUUUUGGGUCGGGGGUACCGGUCCGGUGUUUCACUGUGCACUGGUCUCCCCUUCCUUUCUGCCGGGGACGGCGUUUGCUCUUUACUGAGCGGCGUCGGAGUCGGCGUUGUUACUUUGAAAAAAUUAGAGUGUUCAAAGCAAGCCAUCGCUCUGAAUACAUUAGCAUGGAAUAACAUGAUAGGACUCCGGUCUUAUUUUGUUGGUUUCCGAGACUGGAGUAAUGAUUAAGAGGGACAGUCGGGGGCAUCCGUAUUUCAUUGUCAGAGGUGAAAUUCCUGGAUUUAUGAAAGACGAACUUCUGCGAAAGCAUUUGCCAAGGAUGUUUUCAUCA
Molecule: ribosomal RNA, 387 nt
Filed under: Prasinoderma sp.
Lineage: Eukaryota; Viridiplantae; Prasinodermophyta; Prasinodermophyceae; Prasinodermales; Prasinodermaceae
Description: partial small subunit ribosomal RNA
Rfam family: Eukaryotic small subunit ribosomal RNA
Source: RNAcentral